AUCCCAAAUAAGCUGAGAUUUGUAAGUGCUUAUUUGAUUCAUGGGAGGCCUAAAUCAAACUAACAAAGUGGAGGUUUCGCUGAUAACGCCUUUUCUCUUUUACAAGAAGGCGUUUACUAGUAACCAUUCCCAUACAUAU
This is a non-coding RNA of Nicotiana attenuata, 139 nucleotides long. The record is from Rfam. Lineage: Eukaryota; Viridiplantae; Streptophyta; Magnoliopsida; Solanales; Solanaceae.